GACGAAGGUGGCGAGCGUUGUUCGGAAUCACUGGGCAUAAAGCGCACGUAGGCGGCGGCGUAAGUUGGAUGUGAAAUCCCCUGGCCCAACCGGGGAACUGCGUCCAGUACUGCGUUGCUUGAGGAUCCAAGGGGUGCAUGGAAUUCCCGGUGGAGCGGUGAAAUGCGUUGAUAUCGGGAGGAACUCCGGCGGCGAAAGCGUUGCACUGGUGGAUUACUGACGCUGAGGUGCGAAAGCCAGGGGAGCAAACGGG
RNAcentral lists this ribosomal RNA (253 nucleotides) under uncultured bacterium. Its description in RNAcentral is "partial 16S ribosomal RNA". It matches the Rfam family "Bacterial small subunit ribosomal RNA", at positions 524 to 776 of the family's 1533-position model. The record is from RNAcentral.